This is a long non-coding RNA of Nothoprocta perdicaria, 205 nucleotides long. RefSeq lists it as uncharacterized. The transcript has 3 exons. NCBI's taxonomy places the organism in Eukaryota, Metazoa, Chordata, Aves, Tinamiformes, Tinamidae. The record is from RefSeq and is a predicted model, not a curated record.
UGAGGGCAGAAGAAUUCUGGCCAGAAGUCAAGAUCAUUUAUUUGAUGAUCCCAGAAGUCUCUAUGGGCAAGAAGAGCUCAUGGAGUCAUCAAGCUAAUGAACACCUGAACAUUUCAAUCCUCCAGAGUGUGAAAUAAUAAUGAUCAACUGGUGCCAUUUCAGCAGGAAAGAAUGAGCAGAUGGCAAAGAACUGAAGUUUCCCAUC